UACAGAGGUCUCAAGCGUUGUUCGGAUUCCCUGGGCGUAAAGGGUGCGUAGGCGGCGCGGUAAGUCGGGUGUGAAAUCUCGGAGCUUAACUCCGAAACUGCAUUCGAUACUGCCGUGCUUGAGGACUGGAGAGGAGACUGGAAUUUACGGUGUAGCGGUGAAAUGCGUAGAUAUCGUAAGGAAGACCAGUGGCGAAGGCGGGUCUCUGGACAGUUCCUGACGCUGAGGCACGAAGGUCAGGGGAGCAAACGGG
RNAcentral lists this ribosomal RNA (253 nucleotides) under uncultured bacterium. Its description in RNAcentral is "partial 16S ribosomal RNA". It matches the Rfam family "Bacterial small subunit ribosomal RNA", at positions 524 to 776 of the family's 1533-position model. The record is from RNAcentral.